This 244-nucleotide long non-coding RNA is filed under the name Hordeum vulgare. Its description in RNAcentral is "long non-coding RNA (HVUL_LNC007288)". Lineage: Eukaryota; Viridiplantae; Streptophyta; Magnoliopsida; Poales; Poaceae. The record is from RNAcentral.
UAUGUAGACAUGACCCGAGACACUCCUCGGUCAAUAUCCAAUAGCAGGACCUGGAUGCCCAUAUUGGAUCCUACAUAUUCUACGAAGAUCUUAUCGGUUGAACCUCGGUGCCAAGGAUUCAUAUAAUCCCCUAUAUCAUUCCCUUUGUCCUUCGAUAUGUUACUUGCCCGGGAUUUGAUCGUCGGUAUCUGUAUACCUAUUUCAACCUCGUUACCGGCAAGUCUCUUUACUCGUUCCGUAAUAC